Molecule: ribosomal RNA, 400 nt
Filed under: uncultured bacterium
Lineage: Bacteria
Description: bacterial SSU rRNA
Rfam family: Bacterial small subunit ribosomal RNA
Source: RNAcentral
GGGGAAUAUUGCACAAUGGGGGAAACCCUGAUGCAGCGACGCCGCGUGAGUGAAGAAGUACUUCGGUACGUAAAGCUCUAUCAGCAGGGAAGAAGAUGACGGUACCUGACUAAGAAGCCCCGGCUAACUACGUGCCAGCAGCCGCGGUAAUACGUAGGGGGCAAGCGUUAUCCGGAAUUACUGGGUGUAAAGGGAGCGUAGGUGGCGAAGCAAGCCAGAUGUGAAAGCCCGGGGCUCAACUCCGGGACUGCAUUUGAAACUGUUUUGCUAGAGUGCAGGAGAGGUAAGUGGAAUUCCUAGUGUAGCGGUGAAAUGCGUAGAUAUUAGGAGGAACACCAGUGGCGAAGGCGGCUUACUGGACUGUAACUGACGCUGAGGCUCGAAAGCGUGGGGAGCAAAC